Dermacentor albipictus is the source of this 748-nucleotide long non-coding RNA. RefSeq lists it as uncharacterized. Lineage: Eukaryota; Metazoa; Arthropoda; Arachnida; Ixodida; Ixodidae. The record is from RefSeq and is a predicted model, not a curated record.
CUCUAGAUUCAAAAUUCGUGAGCGAGGCAGUAGUUGUAUAGCGGAUAAAAGGAAAACCAAGAAAUAUGAAAAAUAACCGAGGAUAACUUCUAGUACACGUUCCCAGUCACCUGUACUUCCAAAUUACAGAAACAUGGUAGAAGCCUCAAAAACGGUCCCACCCUUUCUGCAUCUAUACGCUGAAUUAGGUCCUGGGUAAUUCUUUGGGACACCGGUUAACACGCCGAACAUCCAGCCUAGGACGAUGUCCAUGCGUCAAAAUACCCGUUCACCGAGCCACCAACCGCCUAGUAAUGCUGAACCCAGAAUUCAACUGUCUACCAGCUGUCUACGUCUACGCAACCUACGUGGCGGUCCCGUGUCGCUUUCCUUCGUGCGUUGUUUUAUUUUGUGCCUCCGUUGUAAUCAUGAAUAACCACCCAGUUGAAAAACACAACAGGAAAUUUUACCAGUCUGUUGUAUUUUGGGACGUUGUUUCUGUAGUUCUGUUGUCUGUAGUUCUGUUGCCUGUAGUUCUGUUGCCUGUAGUUCUGUUGCCUGUAGUUCUGUUGCCUGUAGUUCUGUUGUCUGUAGUGUGACGUCCUGUAGUAGAAAGUUCUGUAGUUCUUGAUGAAUAUUUAAUUAAAAAUUGACAGAGACGUCCGUAAGAUUAUGUAAAUUUGUUAGCAAAAAAAAACAUAAAAGUAAAAAAAAAUUUAAAAAAAAACGUCCUUGCCUAGGAUUCGAACAUGCGACCUCUCGAUUCCUA